UGCCCUAGUAACGGCGAGUGAAGCGGCAACAGCUCAAAUUUGAAAGCUAGCCUUCGGGUUCGCAUUGUAAUUUGUAGAGGAUGAUUUGGGGAAGCCGCCUGUCUAAGUUCCUUGGAACAGGACGUCAUAGAGGGUGAGAAUCCCGUAUGUGACAGGAAAUGGCACCCUAUGUAAAUCUCCUUCGACGAGUCGAGUUGUUUGGGAAUGCAGCUCUAAAUGGGAGGUAAAUUUCUUCUAAAGCUAAAUAUUGGCGAGAGACCGAUAGCGCACAAGUAGAGUGAUCGAAAGAUGAAAAGCACUUUGGAAAGAGAGUUAAAAAGCACGUGAAAUUGUUGAAAGGGAAGCGCUUGCAAUCAGACUUGUUUAAACUGUUCGGCCGGUCUUCUGACCGGUUUACUCAGUUUGGACAGGCCAGCAUCAGUUUCGGCGGCCGGAUAAAGGCUCUGGGAAUGUGGCCUCCACUUCGGUGGAGGUGUUAUAGCCCAGGGUGUAAUACGGCCAGCCGGGACUGAGGUCCGCGCUUCGGCUAGGAUGCUGGCGUAAUGGUUGUAAGCGA
Molecule: ribosomal RNA, 556 nt
Filed under: Aureobasidium pullulans
Lineage: Eukaryota; Fungi; Ascomycota; Dothideomycetes; Dothideales; Saccotheciaceae
Also listed under: 1 other name
Description: partial large subunit ribosomal RNA
Rfam family: Eukaryotic large subunit ribosomal RNA
Source: RNAcentral